AAUCUCUCUCCUAAAAUGAAGCACGAGGAUAAGCAGAGAUCCUACAAGAAUCCCGGAUGAUGAUCCCAGAUUGCCAGCGCAGGUUGGAAGCCGCAUAUUUGGAUCUUCAACAGAUAUUAGAAAGUGAAAAAGACUUGGAAGAAACUGAGGAAUAUAAAGAAGCACGUUUAGUACUGGAUUCAGUGAAGUUAGAAGCCUGAAACUUUUCUCGUAUGGGGUGGUUUUUGCAUUAAAUCCUGGGGUCCAUUUUACAAUCCAUUAUUUUUGACCACUGCUGUGUAUUCAAGUAGUAUGAGAAUGUGAUUGUUUUUAUCUGGUUACAUAUAUAUUUCUUUGUCUAAUUUAAUAUGUCAAAUAAA
RNAcentral lists this small RNA (359 nucleotides) under Pongo abelii (Sumatran orangutan). Its description in RNAcentral is "processed transcript". The record is from RNAcentral. Lineage: Eukaryota; Metazoa; Chordata; Mammalia; Primates; Hominidae.